This 465-nucleotide ribosomal RNA is filed under the name Vreelandella stevensii. Its description in RNAcentral is "partial 16S ribosomal RNA". It matches the Rfam family "Bacterial small subunit ribosomal RNA", at positions 338 to 795 of the family's 1533-position model. The record is from RNAcentral. Lineage: Bacteria; Pseudomonadati; Pseudomonadota; Gammaproteobacteria; Oceanospirillales; Halomonadaceae.
CCUACGGGGGGCUGCAGUGGGGAAUAUUGGACAAUGGGGGGAACCCUGAUCCAGCCAUGCCGCGGGUGUGAAGAAGGCCCUCGGGUUGUAAAGCACUUUCAGUGAGGAAGAACGCCUGGUGGUUAAUACCCAUCAGGAAAGACAUCACUCACAGAAGAAGCACCGGCUAACUCCGUGCCAGCAGCCGCGGUAAUACGGAGGGUGCGAGCGUUAAUCGGAAUUACUGGGCGUAAAGCGCGCGUAGGUGGCUUGAUAAGCCGGUUGUGAAAGCCCCGGGCUCAACCUGGGAACGGCAUCCGGAACUGUCAAGCUAGAGUGCAGGAGAGGAAGGUAGAAUUCCCGGUGUAGCGGUGAAAUGCGUAGAGAUCGGGAGGAAUACCAGUGGCGAAGGCGGCCUUCUGGACUGACACUGACACUGAGGUGCGAAAGCGUGGGUAGCAAACAGGAUUAGAUACCCUUGUAGUC